RNAcentral lists this ribosomal RNA (868 nucleotides) under uncultured archaeon. RNAcentral's name for it is "bacterial SSU rRNA". It matches the Rfam family "Archaeal small subunit ribosomal RNA", at positions 1 to 878 of the family's 1478-position model. The record is from RNAcentral.
CUCCGGUUGAUCCUGCCGGACCCGACUGCUAUCAGAGUGGGACUAAGCCAUGCGAGUCGACGUAGCAAUGCGUGGCGAACGGCUCAGUAACACGUAGUCAACAUGCCCAGGGGACGUGGAUAACCUCGGGAAACUGAGAAUAAACCACGAUAGGUCAUGAUUUCUGGAAUGGAUCAUGGCUCAAAUCUACAUGGCCCCUGGAUUGGACUGCGGCCGAUCAGGCAGUUGGUGAGGUAAAGGCCCACCAAACCUAUAACCGGUACGGGCUCUGAGAGGAGAAGCCCGGAGAUGGGCACUGAGACAAGGGCCCAGGCCCUAUGGGGCGCAGCAGGCGCGAAACCUCUGCAAUAGGCGAAAGCCUGACAGGGUUACUCUGAGUGAUUUCCGCUAAGGGGAUCUUUUGGCACCUCUAAAAAUGGUGCAGAAUAAGGGGUGGGCAAGUCUGGUGUCAGCCGCCGCGGUAAUACCAGCACCCCGAGUGGUCGGGACGAUUAUUGGGCCUAAAGCAUCCGUAGCCGGUUCUGCAAGUCUUCCGUUAAAUCCAGCCGCUCAACGGAUGGGCCGCGGAGGAUACUACAGGACUAGGAGGCGGGAGAGGCAAGCGGUACUCAGUGGGUAGGGGUAAAAUCCUUUGAUCCAUUGAAGACCACCAGUGGCGAAGGCGGCUUGCCAGAACGCGCUCGACGGUGAGGGAUGAAAGCUGGGGGAGCAAACCGGAUUAGAUACCCGGGUAGUCCCAGCUGUAAACGAUGCAGACUCGGUGAUGGGCUAGCCUUGUGCCAGCCCAGUGCCGCAGGGAAGCCGUUAAGUCUGCCGCCUGGGGAGUACGGUCGCAAGACUGAAACUUAAAGGAAUUGGCGGGGGAGCA